AUACGGAGGGUGCAAGCGUUAUUCGGAAUCACUGGGCGUAAAGGACGCGUAGGCGGAUUGGCAAGUCAGAUGUGAAAUCCUACAGCUUAACUGUAGAACUGCAUUUGAAACUGCUAACCUAGAGUAUGGGAGGGGGAGAUGGAAUUAGUGGUGUAGGGGUAAAAUCCGUAGAUAUCACUAGGAAUACCGAAAGCGAAGGCGAUCUCCUGGAACAUAACUGACGCUAAGGCGUGAAAGCGUGGGGAGCAAACAGGAUUAGAAACCCCAGUAGUCC
RNAcentral lists this ribosomal RNA (274 nucleotides) under uncultured bacterium. Its description in RNAcentral is "partial 16S ribosomal RNA". It matches the Rfam family "Bacterial small subunit ribosomal RNA", at positions 523 to 796 of the family's 1533-position model. The record is from RNAcentral.